GGGGGCGUACCGGCUUCGACGGGAAUAUUGAGGCAUGAUCAGCGGGUCGUGGUGUCCGCCACGUUAAAAGGGCAUCUUUAUAAAUUAAAGAACAACAACAGAGCACUCGCAGCCGCGUAAGCCGGCAGCCGUCCUACCCGGAAGAACCACGGUCCGGGGGCUCUACCGGAGGGUAACCCUCUGUGGGGUCGCACGGGGACCUGUUCCUCGCGUCAUGGGCGUCGUUUAGUGGUGAACGUGAGCCGGCUAAGCUUUGCCCCGGCCAUGAACCGAUGAAGCUACCAAUCCUCGGAGUCUGACAGUCGACGUCGGGGUGCGGGAAUCCAAAUGACUGUCUGCACCCGGAGAACAUUAUGCGGAGAUAUUUUCGGACAGGGGUUCAACUCCCCUCGCCUCCACCA
RNAcentral lists this transfer-messenger RNA (401 nucleotides) under Oscillospiraceae bacterium. It matches the Rfam family "transfer-messenger RNA". Rfam says of the family: Bacterial tmRNA, also known as 10Sa RNA or SsrA, is named for its dual tRNA and mRNA-like properties. Its role is to liberate the mRNA from a stalled ribosome. To accomplish this part of the tmRNA is used as a reading frame that ends in a translation stop signal. Lineage: Bacteria; Bacillati; Bacillota; Clostridia; Eubacteriales; Oscillospiraceae. The record is from RNAcentral.